AGAAGAAGAAGAAGAAGAAAACUUGAGCUGAAACAGUCGAUUUGGGAGUCAAAGAAAGAGAAAGACACCCAAAAAAAAGGAGGAAAUUUAAUGAAAUGAAAGUGAAAGAGUGGAAGAGGGCUUAAGCUGUCUUUAAGGAACAAAAUAAAAACGGAAGUAUAGUGAUAUAUAUAGAAAGAAGAGAGGAGAUUGUGUACUUUUUGCAGCGAAGGGAUGGAGAGAAGUGGAUGAUGAUGAGAGAGAGAGAGAGAGAG
Molecule: unclassified non-coding RNA, 254 nt
Filed under: Hevea brasiliensis (rubber tree)
Lineage: Eukaryota; Viridiplantae; Streptophyta; Magnoliopsida; Malpighiales; Euphorbiaceae
Source: RNAcentral